CAAAGGAGCACAGAAAGAAAAGGGGAACCUAAAUAAUGUCCUGGAGCUGCUCCCAGGCCCAUCCCAGGAGCCAUCAACUGCACCAGCCCAAAGGAGCCUGGGGCACAAGGGCAGGGGGAACCUGACACAAGAACUCAAAGAAGAGACACCCUGCCUGCAUCCCUCCCAGGGCUGGCCCUGCACAGCCUCAGCCUCAGGCAUGAAACUCACCCAGACUUUAUCAGGCUUGUUGCUGAGUGGUCUGGAAAUGAAACCUCCCUCGCAGUGUUUGAAGAAGGAGCUGGAGGAUCUGGCUUGGAAAAGGUCAUGAGUCUGCUCUUAUCCUUGGGUGUGGAGAGCUGCCAUCCCUGCCACCUCCCACCAUGUUGAUGACAUCUCUUUCUCCACCACAUCCUCCUCCCCUGCAUUCCAACAGUUCACUCCUGCAAAGGCUGGAGAAAACACUGCUAAUACCCAGGAUUAAUUGUGCUGUCCUCCAAGGACUACACUGUGUACUCAUGACUUCAGGCCCAGUAGGAAUUUUUGCUUUGAAUGGGACUGCAAAUGCCAUGGAAGAUUAUCUGGCUACAAAAUCUCCUUCAUGAGGUUCAACAAGGGCAACCCCAGGUGUCAAUACAGGAUGAAAAGACUGAGACCAGAUCUGAGGAGAAGGACCUCUCCUAUGAAGAACAGGCUGAGACAUCUGGGCUUGUUCAGCCUGGAAAAGAGAAGCCUCUGGGGAAACCUCUGAGCAGUUUCCCAGUGCUUAAAGGGGGCUUAAGAAAGGUAGGGA
Molecule: long non-coding RNA, 772 nt
Organism: Haemorhous mexicanus (house finch)
Lineage: Eukaryota; Metazoa; Chordata; Aves; Passeriformes; Fringillidae
Exons: 2
Source: RefSeq, a predicted model, not a curated record